This 253-nucleotide ribosomal RNA is filed under the name uncultured bacterium. RNAcentral describes it as "partial 16S ribosomal RNA". It matches the Rfam family "Bacterial small subunit ribosomal RNA", at positions 524 to 776 of the family's 1533-position model. The record is from RNAcentral.
UACGAGGGGGGCUAGCGUUGCUCGGAAUUACUGGGCGUAAAGGGCGCGUAGGCGGCGCUACAAGUCAGGCGUGAAAUUCCUGGGCUUAACCUGGGGGCUGCGCUUGAGACUGUGGUGCUAGAGGAUGGAAGAGGGUCGUGGAAUUCCCAGUGUAGUGGUGAAAUUCGUAGAUAUUGGGAAGAACACCGGUGGCGAAGGCGGCGACCUGGUCCAUUACUGACGCUGAGGCGCGACAGCGUGGGGAGCAAACAGG